Molecule: microRNA, 22 nt
Filed under: Magallana gigas (Pacific oyster)
Lineage: Eukaryota; Metazoa; Mollusca; Bivalvia; Ostreida; Ostreidae
Description: Mgi-Mir-67-P4_3p (mature (guide))
Source: RNAcentral
UACAACCUGCUUGAAUGAGGCU